Non-coding RNA from Paramuricea clavata, 259 nucleotides. NCBI's taxonomy places the organism in Eukaryota, Metazoa, Cnidaria, Anthozoa, Malacalcyonacea, Plexauridae. The record is from the annotation of a GenBank genome assembly.
AGUGAACAUUUAAUUAAUGUGGUCUUCAAUUUCAAAGAUACCACGGACUAACAGAACUGACUUCAUGCCUAUAUCAUACCAUGAGUAUAACAUGAUUAAAGCUCACUUAUAUAUGCUAUAGUUAUUCCAUCCCGGUUAAGCGCUAUCCUUCAUUACAACCCCACAUUACAUUACCCCUCAUUAUUUUUUAAAAUAUUUUUCAUAGUUAUGUAGCAUAUGCAUGCAUGUCUUCCUUGUAAAUUUGUUUAUUUAGUUCAGG